GACGAACGCUGGCGGCGUGCUUAACACAUGCAAGUCGAGCGGAAAGGCCCUUCGGGGUACUCGAGCGGCGAACGGGUGAGUAACACGUGAGUAACCUGCCCUUGGCUCUGGGAUAAGCCCGGGAAACUGGGUCUAAUACCGGAUAUGACCAUCAGAUGCAUGUCUUGGUGGUGGAAAGAUUUUUCGGCUGGGGAUGGGCUCGCGGUCUAUCAGCUUGUUGGUGGGGUGANGGCCUACCAAGGCGACGACGGGUAGCCGGCCUGAGAGGGUGACCGGCCACACUGGGACUGAGACACGGCCCAGACUCCUACGGGAGGCAGCAGUGGGGAAUAUUGCGCAAUGGGCGGAAGCCUGACGCAGCGACGCCGCGUGGGGA
RNAcentral lists this ribosomal RNA (376 nucleotides) under uncultured bacterium. RNAcentral describes it as "bacterial SSU rRNA". It matches the Rfam family "Bacterial small subunit ribosomal RNA", at positions 28 to 407 of the family's 1533-position model. The record is from RNAcentral.